ACGGAGGGUGCAAGCGUUGUUCGGAAUUAUUGGGCGUAAAGGGCGCGUAGGCGGUAAUGCAAGUCAGAUGUGAAAGACUUGGGCUCAACCCAAGAACUGCAUCUGAAACUGCAUAACUAGAGUACAGAAGAGGGAAGCGGAAUUCCCGGUGUAGAGGUGAAAUUCGUAGAGAUCGGGAGGAACACCAGUGGCGAAGGCGGUUUCCUGGUCUGUUACUGACGCUGAGGCGCGAAAGUGUGGGGAGCAAACAG
This 251-nucleotide ribosomal RNA is filed under the name uncultured prokaryote. RNAcentral describes it as "partial 16S rRNA". It matches the Rfam family "Bacterial small subunit ribosomal RNA", at positions 525 to 775 of the family's 1533-position model. The record is from RNAcentral.